GACAGAGGUGGCAAGCGUUGUUCGGAAUCACUGGGCUUAAAGGGCGCGUAGGCGGCAGGGUAAGUCUAAUGUGGAAUCUUGGGGGCUCAACCCCAAACUAGCAUUGGUAAACUAGCUUUGUCUUGAGUCAGUAAGGGGAGGGCGGAAUUCCUGGUGUAGCAGUGAAAUGCGUAGAUAUCAGGAGGAAGGCCGGUGGCGAAGGCGGCCCUCUGGUGCUUGACUGACGCUGAGGCGCGAAAGCGU
Molecule: ribosomal RNA, 243 nt
Filed under: uncultured bacterium
Lineage: Bacteria
Description: partial 16S ribosomal RNA
Rfam family: Bacterial small subunit ribosomal RNA
Source: RNAcentral